RNAcentral lists this ribosomal RNA (16 nucleotides) under Fraxinus ornus (flowering ash). Its description in RNAcentral is "partial 26S ribosomal RNA". The record is from RNAcentral. Lineage: Eukaryota; Viridiplantae; Streptophyta; Magnoliopsida; Lamiales; Oleaceae. RNAcentral also lists the same sequence under 16 other names.
UCGCACUUCGACAGCG